UACGAAGGGGGCUAGCGUUGCUCGGAAUCACUGGGCGUAAAGCGCACGUAGGCGGCUUUUUAAGUCAGGGGUGAAAUCCUGGAGCUCAACUCCAGAACCGCCUUUGAUACUGAGAAGCUUGAGUCCGGGAGAGGUGAGUGGAACUGCGGGUGUAGAGGUGAAAUUCGUAGAUAUUCGCAAGAACACCAGUGGCGAAGGCGGCUCACUGGCCCGGUACUGACGCUGAGGUGCGAAAGCGUGGGGAGCAAACAGG
RNAcentral lists this ribosomal RNA (253 nucleotides) under uncultured bacterium. RNAcentral describes it as "partial 16S ribosomal RNA". It matches the Rfam family "Bacterial small subunit ribosomal RNA", at positions 524 to 776 of the family's 1533-position model. The record is from RNAcentral.